RNAcentral lists this transfer RNA (76 nucleotides) under Alphaproteobacteria bacterium. RNAcentral describes it as "tRNA-Ala". It matches the Rfam family "tRNA". From Rfam's summary of the family: Transfer RNA (tRNA) molecules are approximately 80 nucleotides in length. Their secondary structure includes four short double-helical elements and three loops (D, anti-codon, and T loops). Lineage: Bacteria; Pseudomonadati; Pseudomonadota; Alphaproteobacteria. The record is from RNAcentral. RNAcentral also lists the same sequence under 4 other names.
GGGGCUGUAGCUCAGCUGGGAGAGCGCUUGCAUGGCAUGCAAGAGGUCGUCGGUUCGAUCCCGAUCAGCUCCACCA